Paramisgurnus dabryanus is the source of this 1708-nucleotide non-coding RNA. The record is from RefSeq and is a predicted model, not a curated record. Lineage: Eukaryota; Metazoa; Chordata; Actinopteri; Cypriniformes; Cobitidae.
UACAUGCUAAUUCACAGCGCUUCAUAUAAGGAGAAAGAAAAACACAAAACAACUUGAAUUUACAUCACAACACUGUUAGAUUGUUGUUGUGUUGUUAUUUCAGACAUCUGAAAAUGAUUUUCAUGUUUGUUUUUCUCUCUUUCUGCUUCACUUCUCUGGUUGGUGUGUUUAGUGAUGAAGUGAAGUCGGUGAUGGAGGGAGAUUCUUUUACUUUAAACGCUGAUACUGAAAUAAAGAGUCAAGAUGUGAUCAGCUGGAGUUUUGGAUCUAACGGGACUCUCAUCGCUAAAAUUAAUAAAGCAGCUAAAACGACAAAAACUUAUACUGAUGAUUUUGAUGGCAGAUUCAGAGACAGACUGCAGUUAAAUGAUCAGACUGGAGAUCUCAUCAUCACAAACAUCACAACACAACACACUGGACUUUAUCAACUGAUCAUCAGCGGCAGAUCGAAUGCCUUAACAAAACAAUUCAAUGUUAUUGUUUAUGUACUUGUGUUCCCUGGGUUCAAACCCAUAACCUUUUGCACUGCCAACGCAAUGCUCGACCACUGAGCUAUACAGGAACACAUAUUAAGUCAAGUUUUUACUGUCUUAUAUUACAAUUUGGCAUUUUAAUGAUCAUAAUUACUCUCAAUAGUUGUUUUAUAGUAAUAAUAUAUGCUUUUGAUUUUUAUUUUUGUUCUCUUGUGUUUUCCAGCUCAUCUACCCGUUCCUGACAUCAAGAGAGACUGUACAAAAAACUCAGUCUCAAAAUGUGUGUUGUUGUGUUCAGUGUUGAAUGUGAGAGAUGUAAGUCUGUCCUGGUACAAAGGAAACAGUUUAUUGUCCAGCAUCAGUGUGUCUGAUCUCAACAUCAGACUCUCUCUACCUCUGGAGGUUGAAUAUCAGGAUAACAACACAUACAGAUGUGUACUCAACAAUACCAUCACAAACCAAACUCAACAUCUCAACAUCAAUGAUAUCUGUCAGUCGUGUUCAGAUUGUUUUUGCUGUUGUUAUGGUCCUGAAGCUGUGAUCCGAUUGGUCGUCUCUGGUCUGGUGGGUGUAGCUACUGUUGCUGUUUUGGUUCAUGACAUUUAUGGCAUCUCCUGCAGAGAUGAAAAGAAGAAAAAAUCACAGACACCAUAACAUCAUCACCGAUAAAAUGUACUUUCUAGUUUUUCUGAAGUUUAAUACUUUAUAAUUUUGAAACAAAUUUUCCACUAUCUUUUAGGUUUUUAACAAAUUUUUGUAUAUAUUGACUAUACGUCUAUGAGUUUAAGGUUUAAAAAUUAGGUUGUUCAGUUGAACAUGUUCAAGGUGUGUGGCUCUACAAAAAUUAUUUAAAAAAAUUAAACAGCUAAUUCCAUUGCCCUUAAUUUUGUAAUAAUUUAUUUUCAUCAUAAUCAUUCAAUCCCAUAAGGGCGUGGGAAUUUGCAGGAAACAGUUGUGACUAGCUAGCUAGUUUCUCCAAUGAUGCAUUGUACAGGAAUGCACCACAGGUUAGGUGAGUUGGAGAUGUCAAACUGUCCUUCACCAACCUGUGCGUAGAUUAGCUUGUGUGUAAAUUAAUUGGUUGUUCCCAUGAAUAUAGCCAUAGAUGCUGGAAUGGUGUUAAGAUACUGGAUAAAUAAAUAAACAUUACACUCUUUGACAUUUAAAACUGAAUUGACCAUAUGCAUGGCUUAAUGAACUUACACUGAGAUUGGAUUAACCCUUUCCCCGCCAGC